ACAGGUCCUCUUUUACUUUUUGCUGUGACAAUAUGAGUUCGGAAGCUGCACUUAUUCUUAAAGCUUCAAAUUUUGCUGCAGAGAAGCACAAACAACAGAAAGGACCCUGACAAAAUUAACCACCCAUUAGGUGUCGCAAGAAUACUGUCUCACGAGGCUGAAUUAACAGAUACAGCAGUGCUCCAGGCUGGUCAGAAGAGAGAGUCCAAGAAUAUUUUCAAUGGGCAUCUGAAGUGGUGAGAGGAAUACGAGGUAAAAAUUCCAUUCUGGAGGCAAAACUAGACCACUUGUUUAUAGAUCAAGGCAUUGCAGUCUAAUCCAUGUUAUAUCUCAAAUUUGGAAAUUAUGAACUUGCUAAACUUUAAAUACACUGCUACACUGAUGUUGGCUGGCAGUGGAUUUGGGAGUUGUAGU
Long non-coding RNA from Xenopus laevis (African clawed frog), 414 nucleotides. RefSeq lists it as uncharacterized. The transcript has 3 exons. The record is from RefSeq and is a predicted model, not a curated record. NCBI's taxonomy places the organism in Eukaryota, Metazoa, Chordata, Amphibia, Anura, Pipidae.